GAUGAACGCUGGCGGCGUGCCUAAUACAUGCAAGUCGAGCGAACGGACGAGAAGCUUGCUUCUCUGAUGUUAGCGGCGGACGGGUGAGUAACACGUGGAUAACCUACCUAUAAGACUGGGAUAACUUCGGGAAACCGGAGCUAAUACCGGAUAAUAUUUUGAACCGCAUGGUUCAAAAGUGAAAAACGGUCUUGCUGUCACUUAUAGAUGGUUCCGCGCUGAAUUAGCUAGUUGGUAAGGUAACGGCUUACCAAGGCAACGAUGCAUAGCCGACCUGAGAGGGUGAUCGGCCACACUGGAACUGAGACACGGUCCAGACUCCUACGGGAGGCAGCAGUAGGGAAUCUUCCGCAAUGGGCGAAAGCCUGACGGAGCAACGCCGCGUGAGUGAUGAAGGUCUUCGGAUCGUAAAACUCUGUUAUUAGGGAAGAACAUAUGUGUAAGUAACUGUGCACAUCUUGACGGUACCUAAUCAGAAAGCCACGGCUAACUACGUG
This 497-nucleotide ribosomal RNA is filed under the name uncultured bacterium. Its description in RNAcentral is "partial 16S ribosomal RNA". It matches the Rfam family "Bacterial small subunit ribosomal RNA", at positions 28 to 507 of the family's 1533-position model. The record is from RNAcentral.